RNAcentral lists this ribosomal RNA (303 nucleotides) under uncultured Gammaproteobacteria bacterium. Its description in RNAcentral is "bacterial SSU rRNA". It matches the Rfam family "Bacterial small subunit ribosomal RNA", at positions 376 to 671 of the family's 1533-position model. Lineage: Bacteria; Pseudomonadati; Pseudomonadota; Gammaproteobacteria. The record is from RNAcentral.
GGCAACCCUGAUCCAGCCAUGCCGCGUGUGUGAAGAAGGCCUUAGGGUUGUAAAGCACUUUCAGUAGGGAGGAAGGCCCAGUAGUUAAUACCUGCAGGGAUUGACGUUACCUACAGAAGCAGCACCGGCUAACUCCGUGCCAGCGGCCGCGGUAAUACGGAGGGUGCAAGCGUUAAUCGGAAUUACUGGGCGUAAAGCGCGCGUAGGCGGUUUGUUAAGUGAGAUGUGAAAGCCCGGGGCUCAACCUUGGAACUGCAUCUCAUACUGGCAGGCUAGAGUACGGUAGAUGUAUGUAGAAUUCCA